Pelobates fuscus (common spadefoot toad) is the source of this 228-nucleotide long non-coding RNA. RefSeq lists it as uncharacterized. The transcript has 3 exons. The record is from RefSeq and is a predicted model, not a curated record. NCBI's taxonomy places the organism in Eukaryota, Metazoa, Chordata, Amphibia, Anura, Pelobatidae.
ACGGGGAUGGGCGGAGCUUGAAACAUGUCAGAGAGCCGCCAUUUUAUACAGGUUAUUCAGCUUUGAACAUUUAAUGAAAUAUGGGAACGGUGAAUAAAGGUGGCGCUGAUCCCGCCAGGAAGACGGUAAAGAAAAAGAAAACGUUCUGCCCUCCAAUUCUGAGACCAAGACAAAUCCCCGUCCCUAAUGGGCAAACAGCUGACCAGGAACAGAUAUCAACACCAGAGA